RNAcentral lists this ribosomal RNA (490 nucleotides) under uncultured bacterium. Its description in RNAcentral is "partial 16S ribosomal RNA". It matches the Rfam family "Bacterial small subunit ribosomal RNA", at positions 29 to 507 of the family's 1533-position model. The record is from RNAcentral.
AGUGAACGCUGGCGGCAGGCCUAACACAUGCAAGUCGAACGGCAGCACAGGGGAGCUUGCUCCCUGGGUGGCGAGUGGCGGACGGGUGAGGAAUACAUCGGAAUCUACCCUGUCGUGGGGGAUAACGUAGGGAAACUUACGCUAAUACCGCAUACGACCUCCGGGUGAAAGCAGGGGAUCGCAAGACCUUGCGCGAUUGGAUGAGCCGAUGUCCGAUUAGCUAGUUGGCGGGGUAAAGGCCCACCAAGGCGACGAUCGGUAGCUGGUCUGAGAGGAUGAUCAGCCACACCGGAACUGAGACACGGUCCAGACUCCUACGGGAGGCAGCAGUGGGGAAUAUUGGACAAUGGGCGAAAGCCUGAUCCAGCCAUGCCGCGUGGGUGAAGAAGGCCUUCGGGUUGUAAAGCCCUUUUGUUGGGAAAGAAAACUUUCCGGUUAAUACCCGGAGAGAAUGACGGUACCCAAAGAAUAAGCACCGGCUAACUUCGUG